Molecule: ribosomal RNA, 253 nt
Filed under: uncultured bacterium
Lineage: Bacteria
Description: partial 16S ribosomal RNA
Rfam family: Bacterial small subunit ribosomal RNA
Source: RNAcentral
UACGUAGGGUGCAAGCGUUGUCCGGAAUUAUUGGGAGUAAAGAGCUUGUAGGCGGUUUGUCGCGUCUGCUGUGAAAUUUCGGGGCUCAACCCCGAACUUGCAGUGGGUACGGGCAGACUAGAGUGUGGUAGGGGAGACUGGAAUUCCUGGUGUAGCGGUGAAAUGCGCAGAUAUCAGGAGGAACACCGAUGGCGAAGGCAGGUCUCUGGGCCACUACUGACGCUGAGAAGCGAAAGCAUGGGGAGCGAACAGG